RNAcentral lists this ribosomal RNA (234 nucleotides) under uncultured bacterium. RNAcentral describes it as "partial 16S ribosomal RNA". It matches the Rfam family "Bacterial small subunit ribosomal RNA", at positions 1258 to 1500 of the family's 1533-position model. The record is from RNAcentral.
CAACAUCGGUCCAAUCCUUAAAGUCAUCCUCAGUUCGGACUGGGGUCUGCAACCCGACCCCACGAAGCUGGAUUCGCUAGUAAUCGCGCAUCAGCCAUGGCGCGGUGAAUACGUUCCCGGGCCUUGUACACACCGCCCGUCAAGCCAUGAAAGCCGGGGGUACCUGAAGUACGUAACCGCAAGGAGCGUCCUAGGGUAAAACUGGUAAUUGGGGCUAAGUCGUAACAAGGUAAC